GUGCUCGCUUGGGUAGCACAUACAGUAAACUUGGAAAGAUACAGUAAGGACUGGCAUGAUCCCUGUGCAUGGGUGACAACCAACUUCAUGAAGCAUUUCAUAAUUUU
Small nuclear RNA from Mustela putorius furo (domestic ferret), 107 nucleotides. The record is from Ensembl. NCBI's taxonomy places the organism in Eukaryota, Metazoa, Chordata, Mammalia, Carnivora, Mustelidae.